Long non-coding RNA from Scophthalmus maximus (turbot), 2840 nucleotides. NCBI's taxonomy places the organism in Eukaryota, Metazoa, Chordata, Actinopteri, Pleuronectiformes, Scophthalmidae. The record is from Ensembl.
AUGUGGCACAUUUAUAUUUCUCCUCCGUCGUCGCCCCCCCCCCCUUCGUUUUACACACUUAAUCCUGCCAUUGUGGAGCACUUCUGCCCGGUGACACUACACCGACCUUCCAGGGACUGGGGGGUCAAAUCUUCCGGCCUCUCGCUGCCACAUUUGAAUUCAGCAACCCCCCAAUUCCUGACCAUAAAGGAGGACCCCUCCCCUUCCCUCCCUCCCUCCCUCCCCUCCCCUCCCCGUGUGUGUUGCCACCCUACCUCGCAAGACGGAGUCACGGCUCUGUGUUCACCCUCUUCAUUGUCCUGCAGUGAAUCACUCCGACGUGCUGCCAUCAUUUCAUUUCAGACCGCAGGAGGACGCAGGAGGAAGAAGUCCCUUAGAGCCCACAUCGAGGUGAGGAGGAUGAAGCCCACCAAAAAAAAAAAGAAGAAAAAAAAGGAUCCUAAUCCACACCGUCCUCCUUCUUCAUGUCCGUCAGUGGCUGCAAUCUGGACACAUAAACGGAACAAGUUAGUGGACUGAGAACAUUUUUGCAUCCCAGCACCAGCCUGACGUCUGUGCAAGAACGAACAGCAAGGAGAUGCCCUGGAAUGAACUCUGGAAAAAUGACUCCAGCCCAAUAAUAAAUGUCAAAAAGUCCAUAGAUUCCCGAUGAGCCUGGUCAUCCGAGGACAAACCAACAUCUAAAAAGUGUCCAGAACUCGACAUGAAGGAUGCCAUUAAGACAAUCCUGCAAGCUCCUAAUAAGUAUUCGACUACAAAAUUAACCGCCCAACUAUUUCGAUAACCGAUUUCUAUGGAAAAUAAAAGUCACAAUUCUCUGACUUCACCUUCUUAAAUGCAGUGUCUCCCCUAGGUUUACUGGUUUGGGGGGGGUGGGGGGGGCAAUGAGGAAUAAGGUGUUUAAGGAAAGUGACCUUAAAUGACUUCUGCUUGGCAUUAUAUUAAAAAAUUGAAAACACAAAAAAAAAUGAUUAAUAAUAAUUUUGACUUUUCAAGGGGGGCGGGGACUAACGUUGGAGGGGCGGGGCGGUGGUGGGGGAAACACUGUAAAAUGUGAAUAUUUUCCAAUUUCUUUUGCUCCUCUGCCACAAGCAAACUGAGCAUCUUUGGUGUGUGGACAAAAAAAACAAAAACAAAAAAAAAACACCAUCUUGGGGAUUUGGGGAAAACGACUAAUCGAUUAAUCGAGAAAAAGAAUCGAGUCCCUUUCUGUUAAUCCCCCCAAAAAAAUAUAGUUGAGGACAAACUGCGCCGAGGUCAACACAGGGGCCGCGUCCGAACACUUCGGAGUUACUUUCCCUCUCUUUCCUGUGAACGGGCAGUAGAACCAGUGUGGUCCACGAGGAGGGCGUGUGGCUACAAGUGAGCCACGGCAGGUGGAUGAGAGUCGCCCCUGACGGGAUCUGCACGCAGGGAGGGGGAAGGCAACAUGUUUCUUUUAAAAUGAGACGUGCAGGUCAAAUAAAGGAGGAGGUAAAAGGGCACAGGACACACGAGCCAUCACGAAUCGAACCGAACCGUUACGUAUAACAAUGUCUUUUUCUCGUUAAUGUGUACUGUCCCUUUAAUAAGAAGGACAUGAAAUAGCCCCUUGUGGUCGUUACCGGGCGGACGACAGGUUGCCAACAACAACCGCAAAAAUUAAAAAAAUAAUAAUAAUAAUAAUUAUAACCUACCUACCUGUUACAAAUUCAGACAUUUACUCCGAAGCGACGGGACAAACACAUCGUCCAUUUUCUUUCGUUCCUCUGGGAAGAGGAGCGGGGGUGGUGGUGGUGGGGGGGUGUCCCGUUCAAAAGGCCUCGGGUGGAACCGGAGAUGGGUUAUACGGGCUGUCAGUGCGGGAUGUUCAGUGUCCGUCCUCAGGGCUGCGGAGCGCGGUACCUGCGAGGAGCAGACCCAACAUGGCAGACGAGCCUCCCUCCGGCGGGGCUCUCCCUUCGCCACGGGCGGACAGUUAUCAAAAACCCGCCGUGUUCAUUCAUGUCGCUCUCAUUAUUUCCGAAGCCGUCCUCGGGUCGACGCUUUUCAAAAAAGAAGUGGAAACAGAAACAGGGAGAGGAGGGAAGAGGAGAAAAGUAACGCGUACUCGCACCGCGACGAGCGACAGAGGAGACUGACGAAUCUCCUGGCUGGCUCUGCCGAAGCUCCGCCCCUCCUCCUCCGCUGGCCCUCCUCGAGGGGCGUCGUCCAAUCGCAGGCCCAGUUUAAAUUUGGAGUUUCAAAGCGGGCCAAUCGGAGUCGUUUUUACAUAACCCUUCCAAUAUAGUGGCCGCUGGUUACAUGGAAUUCAGACAUUGCUGCUGUGCAAAUUGUAGUUUUUAAAAUGUUGUAUUUUAGUUGAGGGCAACAGUAAAGUAACUUUACAUUCAUUGAAGUACUUAACUUUUGUAUUAUUUCCAUUUUACGCUACUCUAUUACAUCUCAGAUGGAACUCUUCUACUUUUUACUUUACUUUAUGUAUUUGACGACUAUAAUCCAAUGGCAGGGCCAGUUUAAAUUUGGAAUUUCGAAGCGGGCCAAUUGGAAGUGUUGUUACAUAACUUUUCCAAAAGAGUGGAUGCUGCUCCAUCCUGGUCGCUGGCUGGAAACCAGCAGAAUAUGGUAUUCAGACAGACAAAAGUAAAGGAACAAAGUAAAGGAACAUUUAGUCAAGUACUUCACUUUUAUAUUUUUUCCAUUUUACACUACUCUAUUACAUCUUAGAUGGAAAUAUUCUUCUUUUUACUCUACUUUAUGUAUUUGACGACUAUAGUCCAAUCGCUGAUGAUUUCGAUACAGAACGUUUAUUGUAAAUUCAUUUUUUAAAAUCGUGGUAUUGAUAUUUUUUACUAAAGUAA